GAGCGGACAGAUGGGAGCUUGCUCCCUGAUGUUAGCGGCGGACGGGUGAGUAACACGUGGGUAACCUGCCUGUAAGACUGGGAUAACUCCGGGAAACCGGGGCUAAUACCGGAUGGUUGUUUGAACCGCAUGGUUCAAACAUAAAAGGUGGCUUCGGCUACCACUUACAGAUGGACCCGCGGCGCAUUAGCUAGUUGGUGAGGUAACGGCUCACCAAGGCAACGAUGCGUAGCCGACCUGAGAGGGUGAUCGGCCACACUGGGACUGAGACACGGCCCAGACUCCUACGGGAGGCAGCAGUAGGGAAUCUUCCGCAAUGGACGAAAGUCUGACGGAGCAACGCCGCGUGAGUGAUGAAGGUUUUCGGAUCGUAAAGCUCUGUUGUUAGGGAAGAACAAGUACCGUUCGAAUAGGGCGGUACCUUGACGGUACCUAACCAGAAAGCCACGGCUAACUACGUGCCAGCAGCCGCGGUAAUACGUAGGUGGCAAGCGUUGUCCGGAAUUAUUGGGCGUAAAGGGCUCGCAGGCGGUUUCUUAAGUCUGAUGUGAAAGCCCCCGGCUCAACCGGGGAGGGUCAUUGGAAACUGGGGAACUUGAGUGCAGAAGAGGAGAGUGGAAUUCCACGUGUAGCGGUGAA
Molecule: ribosomal RNA, 639 nt
Filed under: Bacillus sp. (in: firmicutes)
Lineage: Bacteria; Bacillati; Bacillota; Bacilli; Caryophanales; Bacillaceae
Description: bacterial SSU rRNA
Rfam family: Bacterial small subunit ribosomal RNA
Source: RNAcentral